Long non-coding RNA from Alexandromys fortis (reed vole), 11722 nucleotides. RefSeq lists it as uncharacterized. The record is from RefSeq and is a predicted model, not a curated record. Lineage: Eukaryota; Metazoa; Chordata; Mammalia; Rodentia; Cricetidae. The transcript is spliced from 9 exons.
UCAAAAGGGCUGGGUAAGAGUUUUUAGUUUGUCAAUUAACAGAAAGCUAGAGCCUGUCCCUUAGUAAAGCCCCGCCUCCACCCCAGCUUUCUAUUCUGGUUAAUCACGUGACUGACAAGUAACAGGAAUGAAACUGCUUGGCUCUGAGGAAUCAGAACAUGAAGUGCCUACACUUUGGUUUAAUGAUUAUCUGGCUUUUAAAUAGUCGUUUCUCCACUACGUACAUGUGGCUUUAUUGUUUGUGGGUGAGCACAUUGCAAGACUAUAUACUUUUAACAGGAUAACCAAAGAAGAAGGCUGCUGGAGACACGAGCGAGGAAAGAAAAAUGGAAAGUGUCCCAGAACAGCUAUCUCCAUCAUCAAGCCUGUGCUCCUGUCUAAUGGGUCUUCUGUUAGAGCGAGUCAUGAGGUGUGGUGAAUGGACUCCCGUGAUGAGGUGUGCGGUUGAUGGGCUUUAAGCUCACUCCCAAAUGAGAAUGUUCUUAAAACCCUCUGCCCAUUGUGCUAUUCAUGGAGUGGAAAUUACUUCCUUCCUUGAAACUAGCUGUGUUCCAAAGGAGCUGAGACUUAGAGAACUCAGGGAAUGGAGGUGAGACUCAGCAAUUGAGUGCUUACUGCUUCUGCAGAUGAUCCAAGUUCGGUUCCUAUCACCCAUGUCAGAUGGUGCAGAACUAACUGUAACUCCAGGUAAUACAAUUGAAUCACACGUAUAUCAUCUUGGUGAAAAAGAUCAAUUUAGAAGCAACAUUUAAAGUACUCAAUUUCCCAAUAUCAUGAAGUAGAAAACAUAGAAAGUACUGAGUGAGGCAAAACAGUUUUCCAAGGUACUAGUCUACUUCACUGUAUGGAGCAGGGAUAUUAAAGAAGACUUUCAACAAUGUCUUCUGUGUUUUGAACACUAGGGAACGGUUUUGUUUGCCACAUAAGACUUCAGUCUGGCUAAAAAGCAGGACUGGGUCUGAAAAAGCAUUGGAUAAAACCGGACUCGCUGAACAUAGCGGACAAUGAGGACUGCUGAGAAGUCAAGAACAAUGGCACUAGUUUUUGAUUCUACUGCACGUACUGGCUUUGUGGGAGCCUAGGCUGUUUGGAUGCUCACUUACUAAACCUGGAAGGAGCCCGGCGAUGGUGGCGCACACCUUUAAUCCCAGCACUCGGGAGGCAGAGGCAGGCGGAUCUCUGUGAGUUCGAGACCAGCCUGGUCUACAGAGCUAGUUCCAGGACAGGCUCCAAAGCCACAGAGAAACCCUGUCUCGAAAUCAAUCAAUCAAUCAAUCAAUCAAUAAAUAAAUAAAAAACCUGGAAGGAGGUGGGACGUCCUUGGACUCCCCACAGGGAAGGGGACCCUGACUGCUCUUUGGGCUGAUGCUUGGGGGAGGAGGAAGGAAAUGGGAGGCGGUGGCAGGGACGAGGCAGAAAUCUUUAAUAAAUAAAUAAAAAAAAGAUAUGAUCAGGUGGGCUUAGGGAUCUAAAUUUUUUUACAUUGUUUUGGUUAUGUUUUGCUUUUGACUUAACACUGACUUAAUCAAAUACGUGCUCCUGGCCUCCAUGCUUAAUGAGACAAUUUGAAGUCUGAAAGAAUUCUCCUCUAACAGCAUUGCUAAAUAGCAGCUUUGUCCAUAGUUUCCUUUAUUGUUGAUUUGUUUGGUGACAAUUUGAAACAUAUUAAUUAGAUUUUCAAACAUAUAAGCAUGAAAAGGGAAAAUGCCUUAUAUGAAGAAAAUAACCUUACUGGGAAUUGAAGAUGAGUGGAAUUCCCUGUAAGUAAUAAUUUAUAGCUUGUAUUUAUACUUCUCUUAGCACUAUGGUUUUUCUUUAAAAUUUUCUUCCUUUCCCUACAGAUUUUUUUUCAUAAAAUAUGUUAAAUAUGUUUUGUACAUUGUGGUUUCUGACAUGAAAAGUUUUUAAAUGAACUUUUAAAUGAAUAAAGACUGUGGAAUAGUACAUUUUAUUCCCCUAGUAGCAUAAAUAGGUUGUUUAUGGGUCUCUAUUUGGUUUUCCUCGUCUAUCUUUUAAAUGAAUUCCUCAAAAAUAAAUAUAAAUUCAAUUAUGGUGUACCUGAGGAAAGUAGGGGAGGAGCUGCAGCCAUGACAAGCUUUUCUGCUCCUGUAUGUGUAUGUGAGAAAGAAAACGCAGCAUUUGUCAGUUCUAAUGUGUUGUGUGAGUUCUAAGAUGAGUAAGUUGGCAGGGUGUGAGAAGAUUGUUUGUCCUGGAUUGAUCCUGGAUUAUUCACCUACAACAGCUGAAGAGCUGAAAAUCCGUGCUGAACUAAUGCCCAGGGACUAGGUCUCUUGGUCUGGUGACCAGGGUUCUCUCCUCCUGGAACUUGUGCAUCGAAGGUGUGUGCAUUUGUGAGAUUUCCUCAGCCUAGACUAUGACAAUACCUUUGCCUCUGUCAUGUGAGAGAAAAUCUGUAGCUUUAAAUAAAUAUGGAUCUAUGUGUGUUGAUACAGACUAGUCAUCCUAGCACGGAGGCAGGAGGAUCCACAGUUCUAGGCCAAAUUGGGUUAUAUAUAUAUUGUCCCCGUUUUAUCAACAAAAUGACACCUGUCUCAGAAAAGACAGAGAUGGAGGGGAAAGAAGAGAGAGGCAGAGAGACAGAAACAGGGAGGCAGAGUCAUAGACAGAGAGAGAAGAAAGGGUGAGGGGCAAAAGAGAAAAGAAGGGACAAGCUCUGUAGUGAAAUAUAUCAGUUUGAUAUAUAAAAUUAAUGUGCAUUAAUAAUUAUAUUUAAAAAGAAGAUCUAUUGAAUGAACACUGACAACAGACUAAGGAGUUCCAAGGAAAGUCUUUCCACAUUUUUAUGUUUACUUUCCCUGGGGCAGAGACAGUCCAUGGCAGAGUUCCAUUUUUCUCAAGGCUGCCUUUCUACUCUGUUCCCCAGUGACCCACCUGUUUUGAGAACUGGAAGACCUUAUUUCAAUUCCUUGGUAACUGAGUAUUUUUAGGAAAGGAAGUUAUACAUCUUUUAAAAAAUAUUUCACAAUUAUCUCUAUUUAUUAUAUUUGAUAAUAACUCACACCAAAAUUUGCAAUAUAUUGUUAGCAGUGUUUAUUAGCUUCAGAACUGACAAACAUUUUUUUUUCUCAAUUGCAUUUCUUGUGGGUUUUAUCUAUGACCCUUGUCUCAGUUUCUGAGAAGACAUGAUAGGUGGUUUUCAUGAGAAGUCACUGCUUUUUUCUUUCAUAUGAACCCCAAUGAUUGAAACAUCUGUGAACACUUGUUGUCUGAAUGACAAGUUGACCUCUCUCUCAUGAUGAAUUUCUCAAAGUGUCAACCAGAGCAGAUUUACAUCAGGAUUAUUUACUGGAUGACUUUCAACAUCACUAACGUACAAAAAAAACCAUUGCAUUUUAAAAAGACAGUCAUAAUGUGUAAUAUCUCAUGGGUCAUUUUGAAUCCAAUAACUUUAGUACUUUCUAUGAAGCACUAAAGCUGGUGAAAAACAAGUUAUCAGAAUAGACUAUGACAAAUAUUUUUUUGGCAGCAUCCUUUUGCCUAACUAUAGGUAAGGCAGUUAGAAGGAAUGAAUAGGUCUUUUGCACAUUAAUUAGCCUUGCAGAAGUAAUCAUGAAAGAAAUCCCCCCCUUUUCCUUCUCCUUUUUUCUUUGUUUCCUAGCAAACACUUAUGCCUUGCAUGGUGUAUGGAAGGAUUUGUUUGAUUCAUCAUCCUCCCUCUGUACAGAAGGAACACUGAGGGGAAGAAAUACAUUUACCUGUAUUUUACAAAAACCAUGAGAUAACUGCAUGAAUGCAUUAAGGGAUUGGGAGUGCAGACAUGAGCCUUUCUUUAAUCCCAGUAAUUGGGAAGCAGAAGCAGAGAGAUCUCUCUGAGUUUGAGUCCAGCCUGGUAUACAUAGUGAGUUCCAGGUCAGCCAGGGCUACAUAGUGAGACCCUGUUUCAAAACAAAGCACAAUAAAACAAAACAAACUACAAAACAAAACCAAAAAGAAUGAAUUAAAAGCACUGCUAAAAAAAAUCUCAUUGUCCUACAAGCAAACUCUUAGCAGCUUUAAAGAAUGCUCUUGUAACAUAAAGAUCCAUUGAGAAUCAUGGUAUGAUGCUGUAAUUUCCUAAGAUUGCCAAGUUUACAGUCAAUUGCUUAUUUAUUUAGAUAUUAAAGACUUAUUUUAUUUUUACAUCCCAGCUGCAGUUUCCCCUCCCUUCUCUCCUUCCAGUCCCCCCACACUCACCCCUCCUCUGUUCACACCCCCAAUCAACUCCUCCUCAGUCUCUGUUUAGAAAAGGACAUGUCUCCAAUGAGUCUCAACAAAACAUGGGAUGCUAAGUCGCAGUAAGACUAAGCACCUCACCAUAUAUUAAGGCUUGGCAAGGCUAUCCGGUAUGUGUAGUAGAAUCUCAAAAGCCAGUAAAAGAAUGAGAAACAGCCUCUGCUUCCAAGGAUAGGUAUCCCAGAAGAGGACCAAGCAUCAUAACUAUAACAUACAUGCAGAGAGCCUAGGUCAGUCUCAUGCAGGCUUCCUGGUUGACAGAUUAGUCUCUGUGAGCCAACUAAGAGCACAGGUUAGUUAAUUCUGUGAGUUUUCUUGUGGUGUCCUUGACCCAUCUGGCUCCUACAGUUUUUUCUUCCCCUCUUCUUCAUGAUUACCUGAGCUCUGACUAAUGUUUGGCUGUGGAUCUGCAUGUGUUUCUCUUUCCAUCGGUUGCCGGAUGAAGCCUCUCUGAUGACAAUUGAGCUAAGUACCCAUUUGGUCACAGAAGAUGGUCAAUUGAGGCUACGCAUCUGCUUUUGCUAGGAGUCUUAGCUAGGGUCAUUCUUGGUGCCUGUGAGAUUCCCUUGUAUUGGUUUUUACCUGGCUCUAAAUUGCGCCCCCCCCCCAUUUCUAGUAGUCUCUUCCAUCACUUUUCUUUAACUGCCCCCAACCUGAAUGCUUAUUGUCCCAUCCUCAUGUACCUUCAGUUCAUUCACAAAAUCUCUUCUCCUUCCCCUUCCCAGGGAGAUCCAGGCAUUCCCUCCUGAACCUUCCUUGUCAGCUAGUCUCUCUGGGUCUGUGGAUUGUUACAUAAUUAUCCUUUACUUUACAGCUAAUAACCACUUAUGAGACUUAUUUUGCGUGUGUGCAAGUUGGUGAGUUUAUAUGAACCACAAGCAUGCAUAUGCCUGCAGAAGCCAGAGGAAGAUGCCACAUUCCAUGGAGGUGGUGUUAAAAAUAUCCUGGAAGAGGGGACAGAAUAAUUGAAAAGCCAGAUGACCAGGAUGUCUGCUGCUAGAUAGUGUCAUAUAGACAGGACAGGGAAGCUGCACCCACAAAAUCUCAACAUCAUGGCCGACCGAAGAAGACUUGCAUAAUGGUAGUAUCAUUCCACAAAGCCAUCGAGGUUAUGGGGAAUUUCACAAGGCUUUGCACCCUGAUGAGUAUAUAAAAGCAAUCAAUGACUGCUUAAAGAGGAAGAAUUGGUUUUUCCUAUGGAUGAACUUCCUGGUUACAGUCUACCAUUGGGGGAAUCCAGACAUGAACUCAAAGGAGGAGCCUGAAGCAGGAACUGAGUAAGAGAUUGUGGAGGAAUGCUGCUUACUGAAUGACUUGCUACUGUGAAUUGCUCAGCUAUGCUUCUUAUACAGCCAGUAUCCCCUGGCUGUUUACAGCUGGCUUGGCUAUUCUACAUCAUUAGCAACAUAUCCACAGACUCAUCUGAUGGAUGGGGUAGUCCUUAAACUGAUAUUCCUUCUUCCCAGCUAUGUCUAGUUUUCUGUCAAGGGGAUAAAAACCAGACAAAAUAUUGUCUACACUACAUUUAAUACUGCUUAAUACAUUUAAAUACCAAUAGAGAAAACAGACUUGAAAAAGGGCCCUGGAAGUGUUAGGAAUUUCUGAUGUUCCUUCAUUUUAUUGUUUGCAAACCAUUCGGAGCCUCUCAAUGUUUUGGAGCAAAGGACUCUGGCCUCACUUGUCUAACAAAUCUGAACAUAUAAUAGUCCAUCACCAUUCAGUAGGAAUGAGGCAAAGCAGACAAAUAAAUUCUGUCUUUUCUCUGUGGUAACAUAAAGAGGUGAUCUAAGUAAUAAACACACAGAUACAACAAAUUGAAGACAGUAAUAAGAAUCUCACUGCCUUUUUAUUAAUGUUGAUGCCACGGCUUUCAUCUUCUAUGUGAGCCUCAGAAAGUUAUUUAACUUAAUUUUCUAGAAUUUUGUUCACUUAAAAAUAUUUAUUUUAACUAAUUAUAUUCUUUGUUUAUUUUGCCAGGUUGUUUUCAGUUAGCAAAUCAGUCUGAGGCAGAGUUGAAUAUGCUCCCACAUGCCGGUGUCACCACCAUGGCCAUCCUCAUGUCAUAGUGGACAUCACUUCCUGAGAAAGAAAAGGCCAUACCAGGGGAAUUUAUUUCAAUAGCUUUUUAUUUUACUUAAAACUGUAUAUGUCUAACAUAAAAUUGUAUUUUAUUCAACCACCAGAGGGAGCCUUCAAAUCUACGGUUUCUGAAAAGGAAAUACGAUUGAAGUGUCAACUUUGUAAAUUUUAUGCUUGACAAUUAAAAACCCAACACAUUCCAUUUCAUGCCAUUGCCUUCCAUGAGGGUUUUCAUACAGAAGAUGGCAGGCUCUUCUCAUGCUCCAUAUGCCGUAUCAUUUUGGUUAACAGUUUUUAUAUAAUACUCUAUUUUUGCGUGAUUUUGAUUCUUUCAGUAGUUUGAGUAAUUCUGAUAUUUUAAUUAUACAGUUGAUUGAGACUCACCAAUAUCUUGCUUCAAAAUGAUUUUCCUUCCAUACUUUAAGUCCUAGCUUAUUUCAGGUGUAUUUUUGUCUUCAAAUUGAUGAUCUUUAUCCAUAUAUGUUUUUUUCAGUAACCCCAAACCAAAGGUUUGCCACAUCUAUUCCUUUCCAUAUUUAUUAAUUUGGAUACAUUGCUUGUCUAACCAGGAUUUAUUAUUAAAUAUUUAAGAAGUGUCUUGGGAUUUUAGAAUGAUGAGUCUUUUUCAUAUUUGGGAAUGUUAACCUAAUGCAUGUUUGACAAAUAGAGUGACCGUGAUAUUCUCAGGCGUUUCCUUCCAUCAUCUGCAAGCUCAUUUUCUCCCAUGGAGAAUCAAGUGAUUCAAAUGUUUCCAGCGAUAUUAUUUACACAUGGGAUGAGGAAGGAUGUUAUCUAACUUUUUCCUCUAGGCAGAGCUGGCUAGUUCCCAUAAGGGAGAGCCCUGGACCUCCCAGAACUAACCUCCUUCAAUUGCUGAUACCUUGUCAGUAAACGUGAGUUUCCAUGUCCAUGUAGGUCUCUCUCUCACUCUCCCUCCCUCUGUGUCUCUCCAUCCCUCCUAUAUAGACUUAUGCAUGCAUCAUGAUGCUGUCACUACAGCAGUUGAGGUAGUCAAGAUACCCACUGUCUUCAAGCAUUUCCUCCCGGCUGCUAUCUAUUGUGAUAAGAACACUUACAACAGUAGCACAACUUUAGGGAAGGGUAGCUCUUGAAAGAACUUGUUUUGUCUACUGUUUGUGCAUCACACUGUCAAAUGUCCCUGUUUUUUUUUUCUUUCACACAUUAAUGUCAUCAGUCUUGUUUUGUGACUGUGAAAAAUUGUUGUGCACAGAGGUUAAGCAAAUUACCCAGGGUCACAGAGCAGAUGAGUGAAACCUGGGCUCAGAGCCAGGACUCUGAACUGCUGGGUUGACAUAUGGUCUUCCAGUGCUCCACACAGCUGCAGGCUGGCCGGCUCCUUCCCAUUGCACUUAAUAAAAGUCAGCUAUUUUAACUCUUCAUCUGAGUCAAAGUCAAUGGAAUUUCACUAAAGUUACUAGAAUGUGGUCUCAGUAGAAAAAUGAAUUAUGAAUAAUGAAUAGAGGUGAAACAGAUUCAUCCCUAGUCAGUAUUGACAGAGUCAUUCUUCUUUUUCUUUAACUUCUGAUUCUCCAGAAAGUGCUUACAGAUGUAUAAUAUUUCCACAAGAAGUUUCUAUGACAACACCACCUGAAUACUAACAUUUUAGACAAAGUAUUCCUUUGAUAUUUGUAUGAUUGCCUGAUAGUUAUAUGUAUAUCUUUAUUGCAUAUUUUACUUUAUUUGCAAAUAUUCUUUAUUUAUUCAAUAAAGAUGUACAUAUAACUAUCAGGGUCUGAAUUUUGCUGCACAAAGAAAAGGUAUUUUCCAACAAGGUGUUUAAUAACUCAGUUGAUAAUGCUCUUUUAGAAGGCAAAUGAGCUCAUUCACUUUCCAACAUAGAAGUCCAAGGAAGCUGUCAGGUAAGAUAAGCUGUCAGCUACAAACAAAGUCAGUUGGCGUCUUACUUCACUGAGACUGUUCCCUGGACCAGCUGUUUUGCAAUCGCAGAUACCCAUGGGUAUGCAAGUCUGGCCUUGCAGUACAUGGUUGGUCUGACGUCUCUUCAGCGCUGGCUUAUCCUCCCUUACCUCUGUACUACCUUCAGAAGCAGCAGAAGGUCUCGUUGUCUGCAUUUAGGGAAAUGGAUGCACACUCUGCUCUAAUGCAGACUCAUGGAUGCUGCCUCCUCAGCCUACAAGGGGUGGGGGGAGGCAGCCCGUGACUAAUACAGUGUUUAAAGGAACAGUACUAAGGAAAAACAUGUUACAAGAGAUUUCUCAUGUCAUUUUUAACAGCACAUUGCAUCAAUAGGGUUUAUUUCACUUAUUUAAAAAUAACUCUUAAUUAAUGCUGAGGAUGUAUGAAGGCAGACAGUAUUAAAACUAGGGAUUAAAAGUCUUUUGCAGAAAGACUUUUAAUUUCUUGAUGUUUAUGUUUUUAUGCUUUAUAUUUCAAAUUUAAUAAUUCUAUGAAUAUGUUUCACUCAGGUGCUCCAGCUUUGUCACAAUCUUGCAAAUAAAUAAUGCAUUUCUUAGAAAUAUCCUCCCCAAAGUAGAAGGGCUGCAAACAUUCAUUUUGACUUGUCAUGGAGGCAGUGGUUUUCAUCUUUUGUGAUACAUUUUUAAAGCCUGAGCAAAACUGCAUAAAGAAUAGUUCCUCUUAAUGAGAUGAGUCACAUGAAAAUUUCAGAGCUCUCAAGGCUGUGAAGGCAUGUGAAAAGAUAUCACCCCUGGUGACUGUUGAGCAGAGGCAUGCCUGUGCUCUGCUGGUUUCUUUUUCAGAACGAUGACAGCAGCAGGUAUCCUGGAACUUAUCUGCUGGAAGUUAAAGUUUAACUCCUCUACUAAACAAAUUAUAUUAGACAUGCUACUUAGUUUCUAUGCCUCAAUUUACUUAUUAAAACAAGAAAUAUAAUUUGUAAUGGGGAUUGCCAGGGCUAUUUUUUUAAUUCUGUAUAUUAUUUAAACCAGUGUACAAUCCUAUUUAUUUAAACAAAAACACUUUUUGUAGCACAAUUUCCCACGAUAAUUCCACAUUUCCAUAACCAUGAUUAAGUUUUGUCAUCACAAAUCUAGAAUGCUUACAUAAGAAAUCUGCUUGUCUGAGGCAUUAAUAAACUGAAUCUGAGUUUUUUCUCAUCCAUUCAAAGGUCUAACAUAAAAUGGAGUGAGGUAGGAAAAGCAGAAGGCUUAGAAAAAAUCUUGGCUAUAAUUAAUCAUCAAAUAAAUGUCUAUUGAUUUGGAACCAUGUGGAAAAAAUCAUUAUAGAUGCCAAACAAACAAUGUUAAAAUCAAGAGGCUAAAGAAAGCAUCAUAGGAGCAAAACAGAUUGUUUUUUAAAGUGGACAAAAUUGUUUUGACCAUAUUAGAAUCAUAACACUUUCAAACCAUAUUCUUGAAAGUAAAUAUUUAGAGGGUGUUUCAAAAAAAUUCUUUUUAUCCUUCCUGGAUUUUAUAGGUAUUUUAUGGGUUAGAAUAAAGAACAACAUUUUAAGAAUAAAUUCAUACCAACUAGGAAAUUAUUUUAAAAACACUGCUAAAACUCACUAAAAUUCAUAAAAGAAAAACCACAUGCUUCAGUUUCUCUUGCUUCUCUGUGUAGCUCAUUGCUGAAGUAUAUUACCUUUUUAUUUUAUUAUUUAUUUAUUUGUUUUUUUUUUUUUUUUCGAGACAAGGUUUCUCAGUAGCUAUGGAUCCAGUCCUGAAACUCUGUAGACCAGGCUGACCUUGAACUCACAGAAAUCCACCUGCCUCUCUCUCUUGAGGCUGGGAUUAAAGAUGCGAGCCACUUCUGCCUGGCUAUAUAACUUUUUUUUUUAAUGAUUAUGAGUAGCAGAAAAAUCUAAAGUGCAUACCAAAUGGUGAGUAAAUUACUGAGUGUUUGAGCAUGGCGCUACCCAUCAUUCACUACAGCACUAGAAAUGAGAGCCUGUAUUAAGACCAGCCAGGCUACAUAGAUAGAGUGGGUGCCAAAAGAGACAAGUCAGCUAUUACCUGACCAUGUAAAAAGCAGCUGACAUUGGGCCAUCUUGAUUUUAAGCAAUGGAUAUCUUCUAUCAGAUAAUUGAGCUCAAAAGUCUCCGCUUUGGGUCACCAAGAUGGCUUAGUGGGUCAAGGUGCUUGCAGGCAAGCUUGAUGAACUGAGUUCUGUCCUAAGGAUCUGUAGGUAGCAGGAAAGAAGCAACUCCUGCGAGCUGUCCCGGUACCUUCACAUAUGUAAUGCAGCACAUGACCCCACUCCACAAAAAUGAAUACAUUUAAGAAUGUUAAUAAAGAAUUUCACAAAUAAGAUUCUUGUAGUCUCAAAAACUUUUAUCCAGACAUAAGUAAUUCUAGUUGAUUGAGUAUUAUUUAAGUUUUGAUAAAAAUAAGUCUGAGAUAAUUUCAUGGAUAGUAGGAACAGUUUGAACUUAGGAAGGUUGGGUUUUGGGAACACAGAUGACCAAUGAAGAUUGUCAGAUAUCUGGGGAAACUCUAGAGUAGGAAAUUGGGAGGAAGUGUAUGGCUUUCCCUGGUGCUGGAUGAAGCCAAUGAGUAAGGGAUGCAUGGAAACCAGAAAGCUAGAAUGCCUCUGGUGAAGAAGCACUGUUGAAAAGCAGGACCACUGGUAUCGAAUGUAGGUUGUGUCAUCCCUGGACCUUAAGUUGUAGCAUCAAAAAGUCUAGGAGAACUUGUGGGAACAGGGUGCUACCUGUAGGGAAAGAUGGAGUCAUGCUAGAGCAGAAUUUAGCCACUGAUUAUACUAGGCUAUAAUACGAUAAUCUAACUUGGGGCAUUAGGACACAACAUGAGAACAAAAUCUAAUGAUCCUUUUCUUCCUGAAACUCUUGGUGUUAAAAACUCUGUCAAGAUGAAACAAACAGGAGACAGGCUUAUGGUUCAGUGUAAGGAAUACUAUCAUCACUGGUAUCUUAAAUUUAUUGCUUUCUCCGGAAGGCUUUACUCAAUACCUUCACUAAAACAGAUGGCUUCAAAAGCUACAAUGCAAGUCAGUAACUCCAAGAAGAUCCUUGUAUCCUGUGUAGCCUGUGUUUAUGGGAAUAAAUUUUUUGCUAAGGGGUGUUUGUUUAGUGCUGUUGGCAUUAAGAGUCAAGAGUGGAGCCAUAUUACUUCCCCUAUGAAGAGAUUCAAAAACAAAAAUACAUUUGUGUUUUAUAUGGAGGACUUAGAGACGAUGUUUCAUUAUAAAAGGUGAGGAUACUUGCUGUCUUUCUCAGCACACACACACUUUAAUUCUUUGUGUACUUGUUGAAAAAACUGUUUUGGGCUCUGUUGGAAAAUUAGAGUUUUAUAAUUAGUUCUGGCUUGGUUAGUUAAGACAUGAAAGGAAGGGCACGAUGCAGUUGACUCCUAUGACAUGGGAGGACCCUGUGUGUUGUAGGAGACCACUUGUUCAUUUUCUGGCCACCUAGACUUCAAAAAUAAUCACACAGAAACCAUAUUAUUUAAAU